GUCGUUUGACUGUGUUCUAACACGGAAACUUUCUCGAACUUCUCAUGCGUAUUGUUCAACAACUGCAAUAAAGCUUCACGCCAGGUAAACAGAUGGCACUCAGUUUGGCAAUCGAGAAUUUUAAAUAUUCGAAUUGUUCUGUCGGGACUGGUCCCUACGGAACAGGACUAAACAUUUUGUGUAGACCGCGCCAUCGUGCGGGUCUUUGCCGAAAAAAAAACCAAAUAUCGACGUGGUUGUAUACAGCAUUUAUCUGAAGAUCGAUAAACCUAUGCAGGAUUAACGACUGGCAAAACCAGCAAGGACAAGGCGUAUAAAAAGUAAAGACUCACCAGAAUCCGUCCAUUGCUCGAUAGAAUCAUCAUACGUAGCCCAAUCGUUCGUCAAGUCCUUAUGAG
Molecule: long non-coding RNA, 398 nt
Organism: Hylaeus volcanicus
Lineage: Eukaryota; Metazoa; Arthropoda; Insecta; Hymenoptera; Colletidae
Exons: 3
Source: RefSeq, a predicted model, not a curated record